UGGACACUAGAUUCUCUGACAUCGAGAUUAGGUGUGGUGAUAUGGUGAUAUGCUCUGAGAUUAAACCAUAUUCCUCAGAAAGACAUGAAUGGUGCAGAAUCACUAAGAACUUGGGUCAAGGCUCUGCCACUUUACAUAACAAAAGUUCGGAUGCUAUACUUGUUGACGAGGCUCUCAUCCCCAAAGAUGGUGCUGUAGAUAUAAUGUCUGGUUCCGAAAUUGUUCCUAGCCCUGGAGGACAAGGUUACUUGCAGUACAGAUUUACGGUAAUGCCUGCUCCAGAUUCAAGAUCCCAGCUAUUUAAGAUGCUCUAUUAUUAUUAUCUC
Brassica napus (rape) is the source of this 326-nucleotide long non-coding RNA. RefSeq lists it as uncharacterized. The record is from RefSeq and is a predicted model, not a curated record. NCBI's taxonomy places the organism in Eukaryota, Viridiplantae, Streptophyta, Magnoliopsida, Brassicales, Brassicaceae. The transcript has 3 exons.